This 863-nucleotide ribosomal RNA is filed under the name uncultured bacterium. RNAcentral's name for it is "bacterial SSU rRNA". It matches the Rfam family "Bacterial small subunit ribosomal RNA", at positions 8 to 871 of the family's 1533-position model. The record is from RNAcentral.
AGAGUUUGAUCCUGGCUCAGGAUGAACGCUAGCGGCAGGCCUAACACAUGCAAGUCGAGGGGUAACAUGGUCUUCGGACUGAUGACGACCGGCGCACGGGUGCGUAACGCGUAUGCAAUCUACCCUUAUCUGGAGAAUAGCCCGAAGAAAUUCGGAUUAAUGCUCCAUAGUAUUUAAAAGUGGCAUCACUUUAAAAUUAAAGCUUCGGCGGAUAAGGAUGAGCAUGCGUCCUAUUAGUUAGUUGGUGAGGUAACGGCUCACCAAGGCAGCGAUAGGUAGGGGGCCUGAGAGGGUGAUCCCCCACACUGGUACUGAGACACGGACCAGACUCCUACGGGAGGCAGCAGUGAGGAAUAUUGGUCAAUGGACGAAAGUCUGAACCAGCCAUGCCGCGUGCAGGACGACGGCCCUACGGGUUGUAAACUGCUUUUAUAUGGGAAUAAACCCUCGAACGUGUUCGAGGCUGAAGGUACCAUACGAAUAAGGAUCGGCUAACUCCGUGCCAGCAGCCGCGGUAAUACGGAGGAUCCAAGCGUUAUCCGGAUUCAUUGGGUUUAAAGGGUCCGCAGGCGGGAUACUAAGUCAGUGGUGAAAGCCUCCAGCUCAACUGGGGAAUUGCCAUUGAUACUGGUAUUCUUGAGUAUAGUUGAAGUGGGCGGAAUGAGUCAUGUAGCGGUGAAAUGCAUAGAUAUGACUCAGAACACCGAUUGCGAAGGCAGCUCACUAAACUAUUACUGACGCUCAGGGACGAAAGCGUGGGGAGCAAACAGGAUUAGAUACCCUGGUAGUCCACGCUGUAAACUAUGAUCACUCGCUGUUGGCGAUAUACUGUCAGCGGCUUAGCGAAAGCAUUAAGUGAUCCA